CCAGACUCCUACGGGAGGCAGCAGUGGGGAAUAUUGGGCAAUGGGCGCAAGCCUGACCCAGCAACGCCGCGUGAAGGAAGAAGGCUUUCGGGUUGUAAACUUCUUUUCUCAGGGACGAAGAAAGUGACGGUACCUGAGGAAUAAGCCACGGCUAACUACGUGCCAGCAGCCGCGGUAAUACGUAGGUGGCAAGCGUUAUCCGGAUUUACUGGGUGUAAAGGGCGUGUAGGCGGGAAAGCAAGUCAGAUGUGAAAACCACGGGCUCAACCUGUGGCCUGCAUUUGAAACUGUUUUUCUUGAGUACUGGAGAGGCAGACGGAAUUCCUAGUGUAGCGGUGAAAUGCGUAGAUAUUAGGAGGAACACCAGUGGCGAAGGCGGCCCGCUGGACAGCAACUGACGCUGAGGCGCGAAAGCGUGGGGAGCAAACAGGAUUAGAUACCCGGGUA
Molecule: ribosomal RNA, 447 nt
Filed under: uncultured bacterium
Lineage: Bacteria
Description: bacterial SSU rRNA
Rfam family: Bacterial small subunit ribosomal RNA
Source: RNAcentral